GCCGGAGUGGUGAAAUUGGUAGACGCAGUGGACUCAAAAUCCACCGACCGCAAGGUCGUGCCGGUUCAAUUCCGGCCUCCGGUACCA
This 87-nucleotide transfer RNA is filed under the name Desulfosarcina sp. RNAcentral's name for it is "tRNA-Leu". It matches the Rfam family "tRNA". From Rfam's summary of the family: Transfer RNA (tRNA) molecules are approximately 80 nucleotides in length. The record is from RNAcentral. Lineage: Bacteria; Pseudomonadati; Thermodesulfobacteriota; Desulfobacteria; Desulfobacterales; Desulfosarcinaceae. RNAcentral also lists the same sequence under 1 other name.